UACGUAGGGGCCUAGCGUUGUCCGGAUUUAUUGGGCGUAAAGAGUUCGUGGGCGGCGCAGAAAGUAGGGUGUGAAAGCCCUCGGCUUAACCGAGGAAUUGCGCUCUAAACUACUGUGCUUGAGGAACCUAGAGGUGAGCAGAACUGAUGGUGGAGCGGUGAAAUGCGUUGAUAUCAUCAGGAAUACCGGAGGCGAAGGCGGCUCACUGGGGGUUUUCUGACGCUGAGGAACGAAAGCCAGGGGAGCGAACGGG
RNAcentral lists this ribosomal RNA (253 nucleotides) under uncultured bacterium. RNAcentral's name for it is "partial 16S ribosomal RNA". It matches the Rfam family "Bacterial small subunit ribosomal RNA", at positions 524 to 776 of the family's 1533-position model. The record is from RNAcentral.